This 142-nucleotide unclassified non-coding RNA is filed under the name uncultured Sympodiella. Its description in RNAcentral is "sequence contains ITS1". Lineage: Eukaryota; Fungi; Ascomycota. The record is from RNAcentral.
CUGGGUCACAGGGCGCCUCGGCGCCCGUCACCACCCCCUGCUUCCCGCCCCCUUUCGGCGCGACGGGGCCCCUCUGCGGGGCCCCCUGCCGGAAACCAAACCCUGAACGAACUUGCAGCCUGAGUCGAAAAGCAAAUAGUCA